RNAcentral lists this long non-coding RNA (620 nucleotides) under Trifolium pratense (red clover). RNAcentral describes it as "long non-coding RNA (TPRA_LNC011828)". Lineage: Eukaryota; Viridiplantae; Streptophyta; Magnoliopsida; Fabales; Fabaceae. The record is from RNAcentral.
AAAAUUUAAGUGAAAUCGUAUUUUGAAUGUGAUUUUAAAAGCCAUCAAAUGAGUGGGAAUGCCAUAUCUCAGUACUUCUAUGGUGCUUUCCAUUAUUUGUCUAUAGUAAUAAUCUUUCAAAGCUGGCAUCUACUUCAUUGUUUUUCAUACAUCUACAGAUCCACUGCAUUGUUGUAUAUCAAUUCCAAACUGCAUGCGGAAGUCCCAUUUUUAGUGGUGUAACACUAUUUUAGUGUAAUUUAAUUGCUCCUUUUAGUUAUUUGAAAAUAUAUCUUAUAAGCACUUGCGAUAAUUUCAUGAUGAGAAAUUAACUCUUUCAGUUGUCAAUGCCCUCAAUUUCAUUUUGAGAAGCUACAAAUUAGAGAUACUAAGGAACUAUAAGGAACAUAGGAUUCAUGUUAAAUACACCAAAUCCUUAUCUUAAUCCCAAUAAGCUUUAUGACCCAGUCAGCAAACCAACCCAGAUUCCUUCCAAAUCCAAAUCUCUGACCCAGCCAGGAACCCGAUUCAACAAGUCAACUGUGUUUUCUCCAAUAGACAGCAACAGUGUACGCAUAUGAACAAACAUAUUUCUCAAAAUUAGUCCUGUGCACAAGACUGAAUUGAUUCCAACAUCCAGU